Molecule: ribosomal RNA, 254 nt
Filed under: uncultured bacterium
Lineage: Bacteria
Description: partial 16S ribosomal RNA
Rfam family: Bacterial small subunit ribosomal RNA
Source: RNAcentral
UACAGAGGGUGCGAGCGUUGUCCGGAAUUACUGGGCGUAAAGGGUGCGUAGGUGGUCGUUUUAAGUCCGUUGUGAAAUCCCUGGGCUCAACCUGGGAAUGGCAGUGGAUACUGGACGGCUAGAAUGCGGUAGAGGGUAGUGGAAUUCCCGGUAUAGCAGUGAAAUGCGUAGAGAUCGGGAGGAACACCAGUGGCGAAGGCGGCUACCUGGACCAGCAUUGACACUCAAGCACGAAAGCGUGGGGAGCAAACAGG